Molecule: long non-coding RNA, 705 nt
Filed under: Mus spicilegus (steppe mouse)
Lineage: Eukaryota; Metazoa; Chordata; Mammalia; Rodentia; Muridae
Description: lncRNA (ENSMSIG00000011328.1)
Source: RNAcentral
GGAAAUAUUUUGGAGAAAUGGUGGGGCUGUGUGUCCAUCUUUUCUGUCCAAAAUUCAGAGAUUAUUAAAAAUUUAACCUACCAAGUCAGAGGUAUAUUCUUCCAAAUUUUUUCAGGACAAAUACUAAUCUCUAUUCUUUUAUUGCUUAAUUCUUUUUUUGUUUGUUUGUUUUUUUGUUUUACCAGACAUAAAAAGUCAUUUAUUUAUUUUGUUUUUUUGUUUGUUUUUUGUUUUGUUUUGUUUUGUUUUGAGACAGGGUUUCUCUGUGUAUUCUGGCUUUCCUGGAACUCACUCUGUAGACCAGGCUGGCCUCGAACUCAGAAAUACGCCUGCCUCUGCCUCCCAGGUGCUGGGAUUAAAGGCGUGCACCACCACUGCCUGUGGUGGUGGUGUGAAGGCCUGGCUUACCUACCAUGGUUCUUGCUUCUGGAGGAACAGCGUGCUCAGUGCAGUGUGCAGUCUCAGGUGAGGAGAGACCUGAAGAUCAUAGCGCUCACAGUGUCAUGUAGACAGAGGAAAGGAGCAUGGGACAGAACGCUGGAGGGGUGAGUUUCCAUCCCAGCAGGGCAUCCUGAUGUAGCAGUUGCAAUUGCAGGUGUGAGAUGAGCUCCGUGGGAUGCUCCCUGUGAAAGCAUGACAGAGGGGUAUCCUAAGCUAUUACUUGAUUCUUCCACAUGAAAGAUGUAGGCUGAGUGUACUGAGAAU